This 274-nucleotide ribosomal RNA is filed under the name uncultured bacterium. Its description in RNAcentral is "partial 16S ribosomal RNA". It matches the Rfam family "Bacterial small subunit ribosomal RNA", at positions 335 to 603 of the family's 1533-position model. The record is from RNAcentral.
ACUCCUACGGGAGGCAGCAGUGGGAAUAUUGGACAAUGGGCGAAAGCCUGAUCCAGCCAUGCCGCGUGUGUGAAGAAGGCCUUCGGGUUGUAAAGCACUUUCAGUGAGGAAGAAAGCCUUGAGGUUAAUACCCUGAGGGAGGACAUCACUCACAGAAGAAGCACCGGCUAACUCCGUGCCAGCAGCCGCGGUAAUACGGAGGGUGCGAGCGUUAAUCGGAAUUACUGGGCGUAAAGCGCGCGUAGGCGGCUUGAUAAGCCGGUUGUGAAAGCCC